UUUUUCCUGGGAUGCUCGUGAUUCCCGUUUUCUUUGAACCUACAUUGUGACAGAGGGAUUCCUAUAUCCCCGGGUGGAUGUCAGGCCUCCUGCGAGUGGAAGGCAGAAAUCCGGGUGCGGUUGCCCACCUAGCGAGGGCUAGGCGUCAAAUUGCGGGACACGGCAUUUUGGGAAAUCA
Molecule: non-coding RNA, 178 nt
Filed under: Lachnospiraceae bacterium
Lineage: Bacteria; Bacillati; Bacillota; Clostridia; Lachnospirales; Lachnospiraceae
Description: 6S RNA
Rfam family: 6S / SsrS RNA
About the family: E. coli 6S RNA was the first non coding RNA to be sequenced, but its function was unknown until recently. It consists of 184 nucleotides that fold into an extended hairpin structure with a large single-stranded internal bulge. The 6S RNA specifically associates with RNA polymerase holoenzyme containing the sigma70 specificity factor.
Source: RNAcentral